UUUUAGAGACGUGGGUGGUUUCAUAUCUGCCUACGCACCCUUCUCAGCAGAGGCCCUCUGGUUAGGAGUGGAGUGUUCGCGGCUAUGGCUCCCCUAAAUGAAAGGGCUUGGUUGCUUUCAGGUGCGGAGGGAGAGUAAAGGACCGGUUCUGAGAGUUCGUCUACCCGGGCACCCGGUGCGCAUGCGGAGCCUGGGCGUCCCAGAGGCCGAGGCCCAGCCCCCAACUUUGGGACUGGUGAAGAGGUCCAUACCCAAGCAGCUCCACUUGGGGCCAGGUCUCUCUGGACCGAACCUGACUGAAUACCGUCCCCUCCCUGGCUGCAUAUCUCAGUUUCCGCCCCCUACAAACUGGACUGCAGCGCGGCUUCAGUAAGCCGCUUGGGGCAGGCCUGGGCGGGGCUUGGUCUGACAGACCCCCGGUAAGGCGGGCGGGCUUUCAGGAAUGCUCUCCUCCCCGCCCCUAGCUCAAAGCGCCACGGUGGCGCUGGUGGCGGCCGGGAGACCGAAUACCUCUGGCUCGGCCAGUCUCGCAGACAUAACCUGUAAUUCCGACCCAGCGCGCUGCCCACUGGGGAGGCGCCCCGCCCACCUCUCUUUGCGGCCGCUAGUCGGCUCGGACCUCUAAUCACCCGGCUCCUCCGUGGGUUGAAGGAUUGAAGCACCUGCCGGAUGUGGGCAGGGAGAAGUAAGCGCUGAGUCUCUGGUCGGCGACUUGGUGGAGAAGUGGGAUGGACAAACCUGCAGUCACCCCUGGGAAGCCGGCCCUGGGCUGCCAGGAGACGACGUUGUUUGGCCCUGCCAUCCAGGAGCGCCCGACUUGGCAUUCUCGUUCCUACCGCCUCCCUAUUAUGCAGCUGCUCUAGAGAAUGAGACUAAAGUCAGAUGGGACAGGACCUAGCUUUUCAGCCAACUCUAGCUUCCCAGCUACCCCCCCCCCCCACUACCAACCUUCACUCCACCCCGUCUCUAGCGUUUCCCAGCUUGGGUGUCCGGUUACUUCUCUGUUCUUACUGUGACUUUGGCCCAGGCUAGGAGGAUGUGGCCCAAGAGGGUCCCGUGCGGCUGCAUAAAAUUGGCAGCUUCAGAACUAGGGGAGAGGGUGGGGUGUGCGACGUUGAAGGGCGGGGAGAGGGGGCGGAGGAGCUGCUUUCUGAGUGCAAGUCCGUGGGCUCUGUCAGAGAUCCUCAAGUCAGAGCAGAGGUGGCUGGCGGGCCCACCGAUUCCUUCCUAUUGCCUGCGUUUUCGGACGGGACUCACAGCUGCUCUGAAGGGCUUAGUCCGGGACACUAGGGUGCCACGCACGCGCUGAUGCCCCGA
Molecule: long non-coding RNA, 1317 nt
Filed under: Sus scrofa (pig)
Lineage: Eukaryota; Metazoa; Chordata; Mammalia; Artiodactyla; Suidae
Description: lncRNA (ENSSSCG00005009688.1)
Source: RNAcentral